GUGGGGAAGAGUUUCAUUAAUGUAGGAAUAAGGUGGUGUUCCUCAUGGUGGGUUUACAGUGCAACAAAUGGAAGUGUUGGGGUCAAAGCCAUGGCGUGCAGCAUGAGUUUUUCCAUGUCCGAAGACUCAAAGAUUCUCAUUAGUCAUCCAUUUUUUCCCUCCGUUCUGCUGAAUAUCAACCUGAACUUUUUUUUGCAUCACUG
Molecule: long non-coding RNA, 203 nt
Filed under: Pan troglodytes (chimpanzee)
Lineage: Eukaryota; Metazoa; Chordata; Mammalia; Primates; Hominidae
Description: long non-coding RNA NONPTRT012598
Source: RNAcentral